CAGUCGCCGCGGUAAUACGAAGGGUGCAAGCGUUAAUCGGAAUUACUGGGCGUAAAGCGUGCGUAGGCGGUUAGUUAAGUCUGUUGUGAAAUCCCCGGGCUCAACCUGGGAAUGGCAAUGGAUACUGGCAAGCUAGAGUGUGUCAGAGGAUGGUGGAAUUCCCGGUGUAGCGGUGAAAUGCGUAGAGAUCGGGAGGAACAUCAGCGGCGAAGGCGGCCAUCUGGGACAACACUGACGCUGAUGCACGAAAGCGUGGGGAGCAAACAGGAUUAGAUACCCCCGUAGUCCCUGUCUCUUAUAC
This 301-nucleotide ribosomal RNA is filed under the name uncultured bacterium. Its description in RNAcentral is "partial 16S ribosomal RNA". It matches the Rfam family "Bacterial small subunit ribosomal RNA", at positions 509 to 807 of the family's 1533-position model. The record is from RNAcentral.